RNAcentral lists this small RNA (46 nucleotides) under Arabidopsis thaliana (thale cress). Its description in RNAcentral is "ATSL299700". The record is from RNAcentral. Lineage: Eukaryota; Viridiplantae; Streptophyta; Magnoliopsida; Brassicales; Brassicaceae.
AAAAGAAGAAGAAAAAAAAGACAACAUGAAGCGGAAAGGAAAAAAA